AACCUCGGGUGGUGGAAUGGAAUUCCUGCAUUCACGUGCCACUCAGCCGCGGAGUUCUCGUUCACGUUCUCCUAUUGAACCGCUGCACGAGACCGGCCGAGAAGAGGGGAACCGCUCACGCUGAUUUACUGGUAGGAGCCCAAGUCCUGGCCGACCUGUGCAAACAAUCUGCGGGAGACAGCAUCUGGGAUAACCCGGACGGAUGGAUGAGUCGGACCACAGCCAACCUGGACAUCGGAUUCCGAAUAAUAGCCAAUAACUCUACUCAUCAUCCUCCACUGAUUGAGGUCCCAGCCAUUCAACUUGACCGACACUAGUAAGGCACGUCAAAUUGAAAGUCGAUCCGCUCUGGAAAAUGUGAAUUUUCUUUUCCUGAUCCUGAAUCCGUCCAUGAAAUCGCCCAUCGUCAUGUUGGCUCGAAUCUGGAAAACAUAUACAAAGUGGCGUUGCUUGUUGACUGGCUGACAUCGUUCGAAUCUCGACACUGAUAGAUGCCCGAAGCUUUUUUGGGGACUGCCGUCCACCGGAUGCGACUGACGACGGACGCAAUGAAAGUGAAACCGAUAUCCUGAAAACGUGGAUUUACCUGGUGGGAGGCGAUUAUGGUCGAGUUCAACUACUGCACCGUUGGAUAUCCAUCGCCGAGGUAAAACAACGGGCAGCCCUGCCUUCUCUCCCGGAUCAACACGACAAUUUAGUUCCAGU
This is a long non-coding RNA of Daphnia pulicaria, 705 nucleotides long. RefSeq lists it as uncharacterized. The transcript has 6 exons. The record is from RefSeq and is a predicted model, not a curated record. NCBI's taxonomy places the organism in Eukaryota, Metazoa, Arthropoda, Branchiopoda, Diplostraca, Daphniidae.